RNAcentral lists this ribosomal RNA (305 nucleotides) under uncultured bacterium. Its description in RNAcentral is "bacterial SSU rRNA". It matches the Rfam family "Bacterial small subunit ribosomal RNA", at positions 335 to 637 of the family's 1533-position model. The record is from RNAcentral.
AAGCCUACGGGACGCAGCAGUGAGGAAUAUUGGUCAAUGGGCGGAAGCCUGAACCAGCCAAGUCGCGUGAGGGAAUAAGGCCCUACGGGUCGUAAACCUCUUUUGCCGGGGAGCAAGGGCCGGGACGAGUCCCGGUCCGGAGAGUACCCGGAGAAAAAGCAUCGGCUAACUCCGUGCCAGCAGCCGCGGUAAUACGGAGGAUGCGAGAGUUAUCCGGAUUUAUUGGGUUUAAAGGGUGCGUAGGCGGUCCGUUAAGUCAGCGGUAAAAUUGCGGGGCUCAACCCCGUCGAGCCGUUGAAACUGGC